GACGAACGCUGGCGGCGUGCCUAAUACAUGCAAGUCGAGCGGACCGAAUGGAAGCUUGCUUUCAUUCGGUUAGCGGCGGACGGGUGAGUAACACGUGGGUAACCUGCCCGUAAGACCGGGAUAACUCCGGGAAACCGGGGCUAAUACCGGAUAACACCGAAGACCGCAUGGUCUUCGGUUGAAAGGUGGCUUCGGCUACCACUUACGGAUGGGCCCGCGGCGCAUUAGCUAGUUGGUGAGGUAACGGCUCACCAAGGCGACGAUGCGUAGCCGGCCUGAGAGGGUGACCGGCCACACUGGGACUGAGACACGGCCCAGACUCCUACGGGAGGCAGCAGUAGGGAAUCUUCCGCAAUGGACGAAAGUCUGACGGAGCGACGCCGCGUGAGCGAAGAAGGUCUUCGGAUCGUAAAGCUCUGUUGUUAGGGACGAAGAAGUACCGUUCGAAUAGGGCGGUACGGUGACGGUACCUAACGAGAAAGCCCCGGCUAACUACGU
RNAcentral lists this ribosomal RNA (498 nucleotides) under uncultured bacterium. RNAcentral's name for it is "partial 16S ribosomal RNA". It matches the Rfam family "Bacterial small subunit ribosomal RNA", at positions 28 to 506 of the family's 1533-position model. The record is from RNAcentral.